This 138-nucleotide ribosomal RNA is filed under the name uncultured eukaryote. RNAcentral's name for it is "partial 18S ribosomal RNA". It matches the Rfam family "Eukaryotic small subunit ribosomal RNA", at positions 1299 to 1458 of the family's 1831-position model. The record is from RNAcentral.
UGGUGGAGUGAUUUGUCUGGUUAAUUCCGUUAACGAACGAGACCUCGACCUGCUAAAUAGUCUCAUUCACCAAGGUGGGUGAGAUCUUCUUAGAGGGACUAUCGGUGUCCUAGCCGGUGGAAGUUCGAGGCAAUAACA